AAUAUUUAAAUAUUUAUUGUUUUUUUUUUUGUUUUAUUUUUAAAAUUAAAAUAUUAAUUUUUAUUAUUUUUUGAAAAAAUUUUUUUAAUUAUAGUUUAUUAGUACUGGGAGGGAAUAUUAGUUAAUUUUUUAAUAAAAUAAUUAUUUUUUUGUACCUUGGGUAUCAGGGUUGAUUAAAUUAUAAGUUAAAAUUAAUUUUUCUCGAAGUUAAAAGAGCUAUUCUUGUAUUGUUUUUAUUGUAACAUAAAUAUAUUAAAUAUAUGAAUUGUAAUGAAACGUUAUUCGUUUUUAAAUAUAUCUAGUUUUCUAAGAAAUGAAUUUAAUUCAAUUAUUAAAAUUUAAUUUUUCUUUUAUUUGAUUUGUUUUUUUAAUAGUAAGUAUUUGAAGGGAUUAGCUUUUAAAUAAAAUUUUAAAAAUAUAUAAGUUUAGGGCUAUUUAAAUAGGAUUAGAAGUUUAAAUUUUUAAAAGGAUGUUAUAUUUAUUAUAGUUGUAUUGUAAUUUAUAUUGAUUUUAAGUUUUUUAUUAGAAUAAUAAUUUAAAUUUUAAAUUUUACUGAAAUAAUGAUUAAAUUAGUAUAAUAUUUUGUUUACUUAAUAAUUUUUUAGGUUAGGAAAAGGAACUCGGCAAAAGAUUCUUUACCUGUUUAUUAAAAACAUGUCCUUUUGAUUUUAAUUUAAGGUCUGACCUGCCCUCUGAUUAUUUGAAUGGCCGCGGUACUUUGACCGUGCAAAGGUAGCAUAAUAAUUAGUUUUUUAAUUGAAAGCUGGUAUGAAUGGUUGGAUAAAGGAAUAACUGUCUCUUUCUAAAUUUUUUAGAAUUUUAUUUUUAAGUUAGAAAGCUUAAAUGUUUUUAAAAGACGAGAAGACCCUAUAGAGUUUUAUAUAUUAUAAAUAUUAAUUUUUUUGGAAAUUAUUAACUUUAUUAUUAUACUGUAUUUUGUUGGGGCGAUUGAAAAUUAAAUUAAAACUUUUUCUUUAUUAUAACAUUAAUUUAUGAUUUUUUGAUCCAUUGUUAGUGAUAUAAGAUAAAAUACCCUAGGGAUAACAGCGUAAUCUUUUUUGAGAGUUCUUAUCGAAAGAGGGGUUGCGACCUCGAUGUUGGAUUAAAAUUAAUUUUUGGUGUAGAAGCUAAAAAUAUUAGGUCUGUUCGACCUUUAAAAUUUUACAUGAUCUGAGUUUAAACCGGCGUGAGCCAGGUUGGUUUCUAUCUUUAAUAUGAUAAAUAUCUUAGUACGAGAGGACCAGAUAUUUAAUAUUUUAUUUUUUUUUGACUAUUA
Molecule: ribosomal RNA, 1276 nt
Filed under: Trichoferus campestris
Lineage: Eukaryota; Metazoa; Arthropoda; Insecta; Coleoptera; Cerambycidae
Description: large subunit ribosomal RNA
Rfam family: Archaeal large subunit ribosomal RNA (bases 1040-1198)
Source: RNAcentral